Molecule: non-coding RNA, 26 nt
Filed under: Homo sapiens (human)
Lineage: Eukaryota; Metazoa; Chordata; Mammalia; Primates; Hominidae
Source: RNAcentral
UUGCAUCACUUGGUGAAUGGGCCAUC